Molecule: long non-coding RNA, 510 nt
Organism: Fukomys damarensis (Damara mole-rat)
Lineage: Eukaryota; Metazoa; Chordata; Mammalia; Rodentia; Bathyergidae
Source: Ensembl
CCAAGGCCCAUCCCAGGCCAGAGCCUUUCUGUCAGGAGCAAAAAGGCUUGCUUACUCUCUUGAUGACUGCGGCUCCUCUCCUUCUCCGGCUCCUCUCAGCUUCUCUGCAUUUCACAAAACUGUGAAGACAGUACUCGUGUCGAAGGGUGUCUGGGGUUCUGCUUGCCUGCUGAGGGUAGCCUGGCUCUUCCUAAUGAAUCCACUAAGAAGAAGAGGAAGAAGCCUCUAUUGGUUCAACUCAUCCAUUGGCCCAGGUCUGGCCAUUAAUUGAGCUUCGAUCUAACGCAAAGCCUGCAGAGAAUACGCAGCAGAGACAUAUAUUACACCCAGAGCUUUUUAUCUCGCUCAUGUGACCCUGCCCAUCAUGAGCUGUGCAUUUUAUUCUCACUGGUGGGACAAAAAACCACCUCCCGCUACAGCAUAUAUCAAGGGGAAGAAUGUUGAACUUUCUUUGCAUUAAUAUAAAUAGCUGUUUAGGCCUCAUUCCCCAGCCUGGGACCCUUCAUGCAC